RNAcentral lists this ribosomal RNA (383 nucleotides) under Paraplatypeza velutina. Its description in RNAcentral is "partial 16S ribosomal RNA". Lineage: Eukaryota; Metazoa; Arthropoda; Insecta; Diptera; Platypezidae. The record is from RNAcentral.
UCGAAGGUAGCAAAUCAGUAGUCUUUUAAUUGAAGGCUUGUAUGAAUGGUUGGACGAAAUAUUAACUGUUUCAUUUAAAAUUUUUAUAGAAUUUUAUUUUUUAGUCAAAAAGCUAAAAUAUUAUUAAAAGACGAGAAGACCCUAUAAAUCUUGAUAUUUAUAUUAAUUUUAAUUAUAAAGAUUAAUUAAAUUAUAAUUGAUAAAAAUAUUUUAUUGGGGUGAUAUUAAAAUUUAUAAAACUUUUAAUUAUUUUUUACCAUUAAUUUAUGAAUAAAUGAUCCAUUAAUAAUGAUUAAAAAUUUAAGUUACUUUAGGGAUAACAGCGUAAUUUUUUUGGAGAGUUCAUAUUGAUAAAAAAGAUUGCGACCUCGAUGUUGGAUUAA